GUGAAGAACGUAGCGAAAUGCGAUACGUAAUGUGAAUUGCAAAUUCAGUGAAUCAUCGAGUCUUUGAACGCACAUUGCGCCCCCUGGUAUUCCGGGGGGCAUGCCUGUCCGAGCGUCAUUGCUGCCCUCAAGCACGGCUUGUGUGUUGGGCCCCGUCCUCCGAUCCCGGGGGACGGGCCCGAACGGCAGCGGCGGCACCGCGUCCGGUCCUCGAGCGUAUGGGGCUUUGUCACCCGCUCUGUAGGCCCGGCCGGCGCUUGCAGAUCAACCCAAAUUUUUAUCCAGGUUGACCUCGGAUCAGGUAGGGAUACCCGCUGAACUUAAGCAUAUCAAUAAGCGGAGGA
This 344-nucleotide unclassified non-coding RNA is filed under the name soil metagenome. RNAcentral's name for it is "partial contains 5.8S ribosomal RNA, internal transcribed spacer 2, and large subunit ribosomal RNA". The stretch from base 2 to 118 matches the Rfam family "5.8S ribosomal RNA", at positions 37 to 154 of the family's 154-position model. The record is from RNAcentral.